RNAcentral lists this ribosomal RNA (479 nucleotides) under uncultured bacterium. Its description in RNAcentral is "partial 16S ribosomal RNA". It matches the Rfam family "Bacterial small subunit ribosomal RNA", at positions 28 to 507 of the family's 1533-position model. The record is from RNAcentral.
GAUGAACGCUAGCGGGAGGCCUAACACAUGCAAGCCGAGCGGUAUUGUUUCUUCGGAAAUGAGAGAGCGGCGUACGGGUGCGUAACACGUGUGCAACCUGCCUUUAUCUGGGGGAUAGCCUUUCGAAAGGAAGAUUAAUACUCCAUAAUAUAUUGAACGGCAUCGUUUAAUAUUGAAAGCUCCGGCGGAUAGAGAUGGGCACGCGCAAGAUUAGCUAGUUGGUGAGGUAACGGCUCACCAAGGCGAUGAUCUUUAGGGGGCCUGAGUGGGUGAUCCCCCACACUGGUACUGAGACACGGACCAGACUCCUACGGGAGGCAGCAGUGAGGAAUAUUGGUCAAUGGGUGCAAGCCUGAACCAGCCAUCCCGCGUGAAGGACGACUGCCCUAUGGGUUGUAAACUUCUUUUGUAUAGGGAUAAACCUACCCUCGAGAGGGUAGCUGAAGGUACUAUACGAAUAAGCACCGGCUAACUCCGUG